Molecule: ribosomal RNA, 473 nt
Filed under: uncultured bacterium
Lineage: Bacteria
Description: bacterial SSU rRNA
Rfam family: Bacterial small subunit ribosomal RNA
Source: RNAcentral
ACUCCUACGGGAGGCAGCAGUGGGGAAUAUUGCACAAUGGGGGAAACCCUGAUGCAGCCAUGCCGCGUGUGUGAAGAAGGCCUUCGGGUUGUAAAGCACUUUCAGUAGGGAGGAAGGUAGUGUAGUUAACACCUGCAUUAUUUGACGUUACCUACAGAAGAAGCACCGGCUAACUCCGUGCCAGCAGCCGCGGUAAUACGGAGGGUGCGAGCGUUAAUCGGAAUUACUGGGCGUAAAGCGCAUGCAGGCGGCCUGUUAAGUCAGAUGUGAAAGCCCGGGGCUUAACCUCGGAAUUGCAUUUGAAACUGGCAGACUAGAGUACUGUAGAGGGGGGUAGAAUUUCAGGUGUAGCGGUGAAAUGCGUAGAGAUCUGAAGGAAUACCGGUGGCGAAGGCGGCCCCCUGGACAGAUACUGACACUCAGAUGCGAAAGCGUGGGGAGCAAACAGGAUUAGAUACCCUGGUAGGAUACCG